RNAcentral lists this ribosomal RNA (253 nucleotides) under uncultured bacterium. RNAcentral describes it as "partial 16S ribosomal RNA". It matches the Rfam family "Bacterial small subunit ribosomal RNA", at positions 524 to 776 of the family's 1533-position model. The record is from RNAcentral.
UACAGAGGGUGCGAGCGUUAAUCGGAAUUACUGGGCGUAAAGGGCGCGUAGGCGGUUAUAUAAGUUAGAUGUGAAAUCCCUGGGCUUAACCUAGGAACUGCAUCUAAGACUGUAUAACUGGAGUGCAGUAGAGGGUAGUGGAAUUUCCGGUGUAGCGGUGAAAUGCGUAGAUAUCGGAAGGAACACCAGUGGCGAAGGCGGCUACCUGGACUGACACUGACGCUGAGGCGCGAGAGCGUGGGGAGCAAACAGG